Molecule: ribosomal RNA, 799 nt
Filed under: uncultured Glomeromycotina
Lineage: Eukaryota; Fungi; Glomeromycota
Description: SSU rRNA
Rfam family: Eukaryotic small subunit ribosomal RNA
Source: RNAcentral
AUCAACUUUCGAUGGUAGGAUAGAGGCCUACCAUGGUGGUAACGGGUAACGGGGUGUUAGGGCACGACACCGGAGAGGGAGCCUGAGAAACGGCUACCACAUCCAAGGAUGGCAGCAGGCGCGCAAAUUACCCAAUCCCGACACGGGGAGGUAGUGACAAUAAAUAACAAUACGGGGUUCUUUCGGAUUUCGUAAUUGGAAUGAGUACAAUUUAAAUCUCUUAACGAGGAACAAUUGGAGGGCAAGUCUGGUGCCAGCAGCCGCGGUAAUUCCAGCUCCAAUAGCGUAUAUUAAAGUUGUUGCAGUUAAAAAGCUCGUAGUUGAAUUUCGGGGUUAGUAGGUUGGUCAUGCCUCUGGUAUGUACUGAUCUCACUGAUUCCUCCCUCUUGACGAACUGUAAUGUCAUUAAUUUGGUGUUCCAGGAAAUCAGGACUGUUACUUUGAAAAAAUUAGAGUGUUUAAAGCAGGCUUAGGCUUGAAUACAUUAGCAUGGAAUAAUGAAAUAGGACGUUUGAACCUAUUUUGUUGGUUUCUAGGAUCGACGUAAUGAUUAAUAGGGAUAGUUGGGGGCAUUAGUAUUCAAUUGUCAGAGGUGAAAUUCUUGGAUUUAUUGAAGACUAACUACUGCGAAAGCAUUUGCCAAGGAUGUUUUCAUUAAUCAAGAACGAAAGUUAGGGGAUCGAAGACGAUCAGAUACCGUCGUAGUCUUAACCAUAAACUAUGCCGACUAGGGAUCGGAUGAUGUUAAUUUUUUAAUGACUCAUUCGGCGCCUUACGGGAAACCAAAGUGUUUGGGUUC